Molecule: ribosomal RNA, 253 nt
Filed under: uncultured bacterium
Lineage: Bacteria
Description: partial 16S ribosomal RNA
Rfam family: Bacterial small subunit ribosomal RNA
Source: RNAcentral
UACGUAGGGGGCAAGCGUUGUCCGGAAUCAUUGGGCGUAAAGCGCGUGUAGGCGGUUCGGUAAGUCUGCUGUGAAAGUCCAGGGCUCAACCCUGGGAUGCCGGUGGAUACUGUCGGACUAGAGUACGGAAGAGGCGGGUGGAAUUCCCGGUGUAGCGGUGAAAUGCGCAGAUAUCGGGAGGAACACCAAUUGCGAAGGCAGCUCGCUGGGACGUUACUGACGCUGAGACGCGAAAGCGUGGGGAGCAAACAGG